CACCGUCAUACACCGCAAUAUACUGAAUAGAUAAGCCUUGGACACAUGCAUACACUGAGCCAACAUUUGAGGUUCGGAGGCAAUGCACAGCUGUCAGCACUCCAUACAGCACUGAGUGUGGAAAAUAGAACACCUUCCUAGUUUUCUCUGCGGCACAGGGUGUAAGAGCAGUGAGCUCAUACUCAGAGCAUAGCAGCUGAGGAGAUAAACUUCAAUACACUGGCCUGCCCAAAGAGGCUUGAAAGGCUGCCCAGGUGGCAAGACAAUAAUUUCACUGCUACUGAGGGCUUCUGAACUGCUGGUUUGCUUGGAAUCUUUAUUACAUAUUUAUCUCUUUGGGUUUUACAGCAGUUAUACACAAACAACCUAAAAUGUCUGAGAAAUAAGAAAUGGAGGCAGAAGAGGGACAUGAUGGAAACUUUGAAGUACCUCAAACGAAUCCACAAAGAUCAAGAGGAGAUGAUGCUAAAAAAGAGACGAAUGAUAAAGUGAUGUAAUAUAAAGAAACAAAUUGGGUGACUUAGAGAUAAAGAGUAAACAAUUUCACAGAAGGGGUGGUAGAUGACUGGAACAGUCUUUCUUAAAUAGAAUAAACUUGAAAGAGUUCAAGAGUGCUUUGAGUAGCAUAUCAUAGAAGAAUUGGGAUGAGGUGGGUGGUAAACAUAGUAAGGUGAAUAAGAGCUGUAGUUAUUCAGCAAGAAAGGCCAUGUUUUGGUGACUAUACAGCCCUUAUCUGCUAUCAUAAUAUGAUACGGUCUGACAGGGGUGUGUCCUUGCAAUAGAUAGGAAGCUAAACCAUCACAGUUUAUUUGAACCUGCUACAAGUGAAAUAAGUGGGGGAGGAUUGAGACGAAAUGCUUAGAAAUGCCCAUGGAAUUACAGGUCAAAGUAAAAAGAACAAAAACACUAAAGACAACUUUGAAGUGUGUUUUGAUUCCUUUUUCAACUGGUUCUCUUUGCUGAUUACAACACAAUUUAGGGAUUAUCCACAGCCCAUGGUUUUUAUUGUAGGAGAAAAGUUUCAGUUUUAAUUUGACAGAUGGAAUUAACUGACUUAUUAUGACAGAAUAUUUAUGUCUGUACCAAACAGCAUAGUUGUGGUCUUAGUGAGAUUAACUGAGAGUUGUUUAUAUUGGAGCCAGAUUUUCAUGACUGGUAGGUGGUCAUGAAACUCAGAGCUUAUGGACAAUAGACAGUGAUUUGAAUUGAAUAUGCCCAUAUCAUCUAUAUACUGUGCAGCAGUUAAACUGGGGCUUUUCCAGAGUGAUGAAAUCGAUGAAUGAAAAUAUGAGUGUUCUGGACAGACUGUCAAGGUGUACCAGAAGAGAACUGUGGAGUUAUUGACUCAAGAUCAGCUAUUCAGAUACAGACCAGGCUUUACAAGUUCCUCCAAGGCAAGAGGUUAGAAGACAAAGUCAAAUGUCCUUGAGAUGUUAACAAACAGGAUGCCUGUCAAUAUACACUACCUUCUUAGAAAUGCGUGACUUAACAAUGGAAUCAACCAAAUAGCAUUAAUGCUUUACUGAAUAUUGAAUAAUUUAGUGAAUACCACUGUUUUGCUCUUUUGAACACUCUAAUCUUUAGUAAUUAUAAUUGGUUAAUUAGUUUUGAUUACAUGAUGAUGAUGAUGAUGAUUUAGUUCUAUUUUACUUCUUGAAGGCUAAUAGCCAAGAUAGCAGGUGAUAGUAUUUUUGGUAACUGUCUGAAUAACAUUUUAACCAUUUUGGAUUCCUAAGUUUUUUAUUUAACACUCUAGAGUGUCUUUAUCUAUCUGUUUCCCUGUCUGUAUGUCUACAGAUCCUUAUUUUCAGACUGCGGACUGCAUUUGCAGGGCACAGAAGAGUAGAAGAUGAAAUGUUGCCACCAUUACAUAACCAAUGAAUCAAUGUUCUUUAUCAUAAAACAGGCUUCUUGUUAGUUAAACUAUGCUAAAUUGUUAACUUGGAGAGCAGCAGCUGCCUUUAAUAAUAAUAUGGAAAGAGAUGAAAGGAAGGAAAUGAGCUCUAGCUGCCAUGGUAUACUGGAUCGGUACCAUUAGGGAGCAGAAUGUUAAUGCCGCUUUCAGAGAGCAAGAGUGUAACCAAACAAUACAGACAAGUGGAGAUGGAGCAGAUGGGAUGAAAUGAAUGAACUUCACUAUUUCAGAAAGCAUGGAUAACGGUUAGCAACAAAUAGUUUAUUGUGAUUAGUUUAUGUAGGAACGAUAUGACAGUAUUAUUGGAAGUCAUUUGCAAAUUACAGCAGGUAAGUGAGGUGAGGAUCAAGUUAGGAUCAGGAUUGUAAGAGUCAGGUGAGGUGGGGGGAUGGCAUUGGGAGAUAAGCUAAACACAAUGUCAGCAGAAGAGACAUGGAAGCUGUAGACUGUCAGUGAUAGGCUCAAAAGGUGGGACACGGUUACUCAAUACAUGAGACGUGCAAUACGGCAGUGGAAGGCUAACUCUAGUCGGUCUAAAAGUAAGGGUCUACUUUGUGUGCUAAACUUAUACUUAUUUUACAAUUUAACUAGGUAUGUGAGUUGGUCAGAUGACCCAUUUCAAUCAUGAGCAGACCCAAAUGUGAGUGACAAACAUGUAGGCACAUAUUAAGUAUAAGUAUUCAACUCAUAAAGACACUUAUAUCACAGAGUUCAUGAAAUCAUAUAAUCAUAUCAUGCUCUAAAAAGAUGAAUAGUACAUAAAGCACAAAAUCACAUGAUUCCUAACAUUUGGAAAAUAUGAUUCAGCUUGUAAGACAGAAUUAUAUAGGUUUGAUGUUAUACACAAAAAUGUGCAUUGAAUAACAUUUACAGUCAGUUGGGAAGAUAUAUAAUAUACUAAUGAAAGCAGGGAAGACUGGAAAUAUGACAUAGUUGUAGCAGAUUACCCUGCAUUCAGGAAACAGUUACGCUUACAGUUGUCAAGCAAGUAGGUCUUGAAUUUACUUCUAAAUUUUAAAUAAUCACUGAUAAAACUUAUGUCUUAGAGUAAUACAUUACAGCUGGCUGUAUGGAUUUUAAAGAAAAGAAUUCCACUAUAGAUUUUAAAGAAAAUAAUUCCACUUUAGCCUGGUUGAAGAAUAGCCCUUACAGCUAUACAACAAAUAUAUUUGUUUUACCUUAAGCUUGAUAGCCAAUGGAGGGCAAACAAGUUGUUAAGUAGUGUGAAGGUCAGAGAGUUUAAAAGAAAUAAGGCUCUAGCAAUUAUUAUCAUGUAACUAACCUUAGCUAUUGUAUUACAGUGAUGUUCCUAAUGGCUUGCUAGGUGAAUAUAUCUAAAUACUUUAAUUGGGAAUUGGUUUAUUACAGUUAUAUCCACACCUCCCCAGCUCUUAUACUGAGGAAAAAAAAACAGACAUUCAUACUACUGGUACACAAACCAGCUGGCCAGAUGCAAGACACCCUCCUCACCCCACUAAUUCAGGUCUCCAUUUCUGUGCCAUGCCCCCAACCCUCCUUCAAACAGUUUUAUUAAAAACAUAUUUUUUUCUUUAAAACUGUAGUAAACUGCUUGCUACAAAUGUAGCAAACAUUUGAAACUGUUUUUACCAUACCUGCAUGGAGCUCUACAGUGCUCAGGCUUUAGUUAAAAAAAAGAGUUUUUUUUUAAUUUUAAACUGUAGCAAACUGCUUAAUAAAUGUAGCAAGCAGUUCUUACAGUUUAGACCACACACUGAGUGCUACAGCACUCAGGUUUGAUCACAAAUACAAUACUGGGUUUUAAAAUAUGAUAUUGCAUAAAAGAGAGAUCAGGAUUGGCUGAUCAUACCCCCAACACUUUAUACUCAGGACAUUUUCCCCUCUCACCACACCCUAGUUUCACUACUGGGCAAGAGGCUAUUCCAGUCAUGAGGUGUGCAUAUUUGCUGCCCUAAAUUUUCUAGCAUAUGAUUUCAGAGAUUUUUGCAUUUAUGACAGACCUUUAGUUGCUUUACUACAUUAGUUGCUGUAGUUUCUGUAUGAUAGUUGAUGUUAUAAUUUUGGUCAAUCCACACUCUAAGUAUUUUUGCAUAGUAAGUUAGGAGUAGUAUUUACAUGCUGAUAUGUUUUAAGGAGAAGGUAUGUGUUUUGGGAUAUGUGAUAUUAAGUGACUUAGAGUUGCUUGAGUCUGUUUAUAUUCUGAAUGAAUAUUAUAACCAUUCUUACUUUAAGACUACUGUAUAGUAUUGUCAUUUUAAGAAUGCCUAAAUCCCAUGAUGCAUUGUGUCUGGUGCCCAAAGCCUGUGUAUUUGUGAUGAGGGAAAAGUUAACAUCGUUCUUAUUGUAUUGUCAUUUUGUGUAAAAAAAUCAAUAUGUCUAUUAAAAAUGUUGGUGUGUAUCCCAAUGUUAAUGAAUUAAUGAAAUUGCUAUUCUGUAUUUCUAGGUAAACAGAGGUGCACAUAAUGACAUGAUGUCAGAACUGGGAUAAUUUUUUUUCGUAACAUAAAAGCAUACCAUGCAAGUUAGAAAACUACAUCAGUGAGCUUAGUAGUGUCCUCCAAUCUGAGAGUAAGUGGUUUUACUGAAAACAAGUAGCGUUAUAUCACAAAAUGGCUGUUUUACUGAGCUAAAAUUGUUCAGUCCUAGAACACAGAAUGUUUGUCAAAAAUGACAUUUAACCCACCAGAGCUGUUUGACAUAGGAAAAGAGAUGGCAGCAGCACUUUCUCCUUAUUCUGAGAGAGCAAGAGUGUCACAUAUGUAUCAUUAAUUAAUAAACUUGACGAACAUUUUGUGUCAAAAAAGAAAUAUUAUACAUAAAAUGGCAUUCUCGACAGCUAUGUGCAACUAAAGAAUGUGUUGAAACUUUUCUAAUGUGCAUGUAUGAAGUGGCUGAAAUUUGUGGGUUUAGUGGAAAGAAAGAACAAAUCAGAGACAUGUUUUUUCCUUUCGUUUCUCUUUAUACCCUGCCAUGUGCCCCUAGGAAGACAAGAAAAGUUUUUUUUUCUUAACUCCUUUCAGAUGAUGGCCCCAUAUUGAAAUGUCAUGACUAGUAAUGCUGAAUGCUGACACACUCAAAAAUAAAGACCAAAAAUGUAGAAUAGUGAAUAUCAAACAACACUCUUCUCCUUUAAAAUUAUUUUUGUCCCGCUGUGGACAAAAGUAUACUUACUCUGAGAUCAACAUGUCUUUAAAAAUAAGGGAAUAUUCUAAGAAAUGGCCAUCUCAGGUUUAAUAUAUGUAAGUCCAUUUUUUUGCCAUUCAGUCUUCUUGUUACAGGACUCACUAAAGCAGGUCCUGACCUUUCACAGAGUUACCUCAAAUUACAUAUAUCGAGUAAAAAUUGACCAUCUAUCAACUGUCAAAGCAAAUUCUGGCUGAAUUUAUUUUUUCCAAUAUGGCAAUAAGAUUCCUUUGGUAACUGUGACAAAAGGAGAUACUGCUA
Molecule: long non-coding RNA, 5338 nt
Organism: Protopterus annectens (West African lungfish)
Lineage: Eukaryota; Metazoa; Chordata; Ceratodontiformes; Protopteridae
Exons: 4
Source: RefSeq, a predicted model, not a curated record